GACGAACGCUGGCGGCGUGCCUAAUACAUGCAAGUCGAACGCGAAAGGCUUGAAGCCUUCGGGCGGAGGGCCGAGUAGAGUGGCGAACGGGUGAGGAACACGUAGGUGACCUGCCCCGGA
This 120-nucleotide ribosomal RNA is filed under the name uncultured bacterium. RNAcentral describes it as "partial 16S ribosomal RNA". It matches the Rfam family "Bacterial small subunit ribosomal RNA", at positions 28 to 135 of the family's 1533-position model. The record is from RNAcentral.